This 483-nucleotide ribosomal RNA is filed under the name uncultured bacterium. RNAcentral's name for it is "partial 16S ribosomal RNA". It matches the Rfam family "Bacterial small subunit ribosomal RNA", at positions 30 to 506 of the family's 1533-position model. The record is from RNAcentral.
AUUGAACGCUGGCGGCAGGCCUAACACAUGCAAGUCGAGCGGAUGAAGGGAGCUUGCUCCUGGAUUCAGCGGCGGACGGGUGAGUAAUGCCUAGGAAUCUGCCUGGUAGUGGGGGAUAACGUCCGGAAACGGGCGCUAAUACCGCAUACGUCCUGAGGGAGAAAGUGGGGGAUCUUCGGACCUCACGCUAUCAGAUGAGCCUAGGUCGGAUUAGCUAGUUGGUGGGGUAAAGGCCUACCAAGGCGACGAUCCGUAACUGGUCUGAGAGGAUGAUCAGUCACACUGGAGCUGAGACACGGUCCGGACUCCUACGGGAGGCAGCAGUGGGGAAUAUUGGACAAUGGGCGAAAGCCUGAUCCAGCCAUGCCGCGUGUGUGAAGAAGGUCUUCGGAUUGUAAAGCACUUUAAGUUGGGAGGAAGGGCAGUAAGUUAAUACCUUGCUGUUUUGACGUUACCAACAGAAUAAGCACCGGCUAACUUCGU